AUUUAAUUGGCAGAAACAAUGCAUUAGAAUUAGAAUCUAAAUAAACUAAU
RNAcentral lists this transfer RNA (50 nucleotides) under Allocosa brasiliensis. Its description in RNAcentral is "partial tRNA-Leu". The record is from RNAcentral. RNAcentral also lists the same sequence under 1 other name. Lineage: Eukaryota; Metazoa; Arthropoda; Arachnida; Araneae; Lycosidae.